UUGAACGCUGGCGGCAGGCCUAACACCUGCAAGUCGAACGGUAACAGGAAGAAGCUUGCUUCUUUGCUGACGAGUGGCGGACGGGCGAGUAAUGUCUGGGAAACUGCCUGAUGGAGGGGGAUAACUACUGGAAACGGUAGCUAAUACCGCAUAACGUCGCAAGACCAAAGAGGGGGACCUUCGGGCCUCUUGCCAUCGGAUGUGCCCAGAUGGGAUUAGCUAGUAGGUGGGGUAACGGCUCACCUAGGCGACGAUCCCUAGCUGGUCUGAGAGGAUGACCAGCCACACUGGAACUGAGACACGGUCCAGACUCCUACGGGAGGCAGCAGUGGGGAAUAUUGCACAAUGGGCGCAAGCCUGAUGCAGCCAUGCCGCGUGUAUGAAGAAGGCCUUCGGGUUGUAAAGUACUUUCAGCGGGGAGGAAGGGAGUAAAGUUAAUACCUUUGCUCAUUGACGUUACCCGCAGAAGAAGCACCGGCUAACUCCGUG
RNAcentral lists this ribosomal RNA (489 nucleotides) under uncultured bacterium. Its description in RNAcentral is "partial 16S ribosomal RNA". It matches the Rfam family "Bacterial small subunit ribosomal RNA", at positions 30 to 507 of the family's 1533-position model. The record is from RNAcentral.